GUGAGCGCAUCUUCGGGAUGAGCGGCGGACGGGUGAGUACGCGUGAGAAUGUGCCCUUCUCUACGGAAUAGCCACUGGAAACGGUGAGUAAUACCGUAUACGCCCUCAGGGGGAAAGAUUUAUCGGAGAAGGAUCAGCCCGCGUUAGAUUAGGUAGUUGGUGGGGUAACGGCCUACCAAGCCUACGAUCUAUAGCUGGUUUUAGAGGAUGAUCAGCCACACUGGGUCUGAGACACGGCCCAGACUCCUACGGGAGGCAGCAGUAGGGAAUCUUGGACAAUGGGGGCAACCCUGAUCCAGCCAUGCCGCGUGAGUGAAGAAGGCCCUAGGGUCGUAAAGCUCUUUCGCCUGUGAUGAUAAUGACAGUAGCAGGUAAAGAAACCCCGGCUAACUCCGUGCCAGCAGCCGCGGUAAUACGGAGGGGGUUAGCGUUGUUCGGAAUUACUGGGCGUAAAGCGCGCGUAGGCGGAUUGGAAAGUUGGGGGUGAAAUCC
Molecule: ribosomal RNA, 492 nt
Filed under: uncultured Alphaproteobacteria bacterium
Lineage: Bacteria; Pseudomonadati; Pseudomonadota; Alphaproteobacteria
Description: bacterial SSU rRNA
Rfam family: Bacterial small subunit ribosomal RNA
Source: RNAcentral